GUAGAGACUGUCAAGCACUCGGGUUUCCUGAAACUGAGCUUGUUACCAGGUGUAGAGACUGUCAAGCACUCGGGUUUCCUGAAACUGAGCUUGUUACCAGGUGUAGAGACUGUCAAGCACUCUGGUUUCCUGAAACUGAGCUUGUUACCAGGUGUAGAGACUGUCAAGCACUCGGGCUUCCUGAAACUGAGCUUGUUGCCAGGUGAUUUGUACAGGAACUUCUCAUUAUAAACUGAGCUUGUUGCCAGGUGAUUUGUACAGGAACUUCUCAUUAUAAACUGAGCUUGUUGCCAGGUGAUUUGUACAGGAACUUCUCAUUAUAAACUGAGCUUGUUGCCAGGUGAUUUGUACAGGAACUUCUCAUUAUAAACUGAGCUUGUUGCCAGGUGAUUUGUACAGGAACUUCUCAUUAUAAACUGAGCUUGUUGCCAGGUGAUUUGUACAGGAACUUCUCAUUAUAAACUGAGCUUGUUGCCAGGUGAUUUGUACAGGAA
Molecule: long non-coding RNA, 494 nt
Organism: Oncorhynchus keta (chum salmon)
Lineage: Eukaryota; Metazoa; Chordata; Actinopteri; Salmoniformes; Salmonidae
Exons: 4
Source: RefSeq, a predicted model, not a curated record